GGAGGGGCCAUGAAGUCUCAUCGUCUGUGAUUGAUGUACAGAAUAUGUGCUGUCAAACACAGGCUGCUUCUUCUCCCCUCUCAUUGCCAGCUCCCACUCAGCAUGCCUCCUUAGCACGUUCUGUGAUGGUGACACAAACUCCACUGAACCCUGUUGGAGUCUGAAAUUUCCCAGCAUGAGACAAAUAAACAGCAUUUUUUUCCUUUUUUUUUCCUUUUUUUUUUUCCUUUUUUCUCUUUUUGUCUCUCUUCCCAGACUGACAUGCUGUAAAAUAAAAUAAACAAGAAUUCUGAAACUUAUGUUGAUCAACACUGGUGUGGCAUGCAGAAAAUAUGUUGUGAAACAAAUGCUUUGAAUUAGGACACAUGCAAAGGCUCAGGGCUGAUUAAUAGCUACUGUAGUCAAAGACUUCUGAGAUUUUUUUUCUAAUGCUGUGGACCAGGAUAGAAUUUCAAACAUAUUAAUUAGCAAUAGUGUGCAUGUUUGUUGUUGAACCAUUGAGCAAAGGAAAGUGCUAGAACAAGCCAAGAAAUACUUUUGGAUACUCAGUCACAGAGAAAUCAAAGCAAGAGUACAACCGUCAGUCUCUGAAUUAAUUGCUCUGUGGGAGUGGGCAACUUUGAAGGUAGGGAGGAAUGAAAGACUGAUAGACUAAGGAUAGAUUUCAUUUGCUAGUCAUGCACCAAUAUUUGAUUGAUGGCUUGAUCUAGACUAAGGAUAGAUUUCAUUUGCUAGUCGUGCACCAAUAUUUGAUGGAUUGAUGCAGCCUGACUGAUGAAAAGCUCUAUCAGCCCCAUGUUUCAUCAAGAUACAAACAUGUGCAAUCUGGUAAAAAAUUUCAUCUGUGCAAAAUAACUGAUCUA
Molecule: long non-coding RNA, 863 nt
Filed under: Chrysolophus pictus (golden pheasant)
Lineage: Eukaryota; Metazoa; Chordata; Aves; Galliformes; Phasianidae
Description: lncRNA (ENSCPIG00010001718.1)
Source: RNAcentral